UUAGGUUGACGUGCUUCAAGCACUGUUGGGUUUUAGUUGAUAGUUGAUUUAUUGCAACAAAAAAGAUGAAGAAUUAUGUACCUGAAUUGAGGUGAUGGUACAAUCUGGAGGUGCGAAACAGCAGAGGUUCCAAAGUUUUCCGUAUUUCCAAUUUGUUGUGCUUUCUGCGGUCAAAAAACCUUUUGGCUGCAUGCCUGCCAACUUGUCUCUGGAGUGACUGCUUUAAUUGCCUUCACGAGGUCAGGUGCUGCAGUCACCUGACGAAGUGGGCCGUGGCCAACGCAAUUUCGCACUUCCAGGUUGUUCAACAGUACACAAAGCAAAUCCAAAUACCAACAAAAUAUUAUUUAAUUAAAUUAUGAUAAAUGCAAAACACUUAUCCUAAUAUUUCAUAACUAUAAAUAAUAACAAUAAACAAAACCCAUUCUGGCUCCAACAGUAGUGAAGAUAAGAGGGUAAAUGAUGGAUACCCAUGAGGAUGUUAAUUCUCACAAACACCUUCACCUCCUCCACAAAUGUAUUGCACAAGGAUACAUUUGAAGAGGCAUAGAGGUUGGUGUUUUCCACCAAAUUAGCAAAAAUGUUGGUUAUCUGUAUGGUUUAGUAGUGAUAAUAUUUUAAUAUUUAUUUUAAUAUUUAUUUAUUUACAAAAUAUAUAACAAAUACUAAUUAAAUACAUUAAGAAGAUAUUAAAUCUAAUAAAUACGUCUGCAGUACGGUUCAAAAUGUAUGAAUUUGAACUUUAGGGUGUAUGUAAAGCUAUGUAUUUUAAUAUUUGUAGAUGUCACUAAUACAUAUUUGAUAUCAUAUUAACAAACAAUUUAUGCCCUUUCAAAAAAAAAAAAAACUUGUAAUUGUAAUUUUUCUUUUGUUUUCUAACUGUAACUGUUUGUUUACAGGAUAACAGAAAAUAAAGGAAUUCUCUGUUUUUCGCAGUAAUUUGCUGCAGUGUUCUAGAAUUCUAUCUCAACCAAGGGAGUGUCCACCCUGUUUGACAGUGAGGGUAUUUCCAAGUGAUGUCACAAGGUGAAUGUACGCCAUUUGAAGCCAUAUGUCCAGCUUCCAUUGGGAUGCUGCACAAUACAGUACAUUCCUGAAUAUCAGAAGUAAUGUCCACAUCCUCAGCCUUGUCUGGUCGCUGAAGAUGGUGAAUGGAGGUAUUUGUUUAGCAUGGCACUUUGGCACUAUUUACUGUCAUGUGGAGUUGAAAGUAAUUGUACAUGUGGUGCUUUAUGUGCUUUAUGUUCCUAUUUGGGAAUUUCCCUAAGGGAUUAAUGAAGUAUCCAUCUAUCUAUCUAUCUAUCUUUCCUAAAAGCUGAGGUUGUUACGCCUGAUCACACAUGCAGCAAGACGGCAGACACAGCUUUGGAGGACAAGAUUCCAGUAAAAUUAGCUGCUAAGGGAUUGCUGCCGACCACAGACAGUGUUCCACUGAUAUAAGCGAUGGAGAGUUUUGCACGUCUGACGGUAAUCCGCUACAACGUUGCCACUGUAAGUAGUUUUUAUUUCACCUCGCUGAGGAAUUGCAUUUACGACUGCUAUUUCGCGUUCUGAAAUUCUUCUGAAGUUCAGAACAAACCCCAGAUGAGAACUUUCAUGAAUGCCAAAUUUGUUCUUAAAACACAGAAGAAAUUCCUUCUUAAAUUCUUCAUAACUGCGUUUGAGAAUGAGGCCCAAUAUCACGUUAUAAGUGAGUUUUCUUAGCAACCGGGAGUGGGCUGCAAGUUUGUCCCGACGCACCACCCUUACCUGAACAAUUUUUAAAACCAUGCAUGGAGGUUAACCUGCCUUUUCGUCACCACUUGGGGUAAGUGCAACUGGUUAUGCGACUUAAUAAUGCAAAUGAAAUGUAAAUACAUGUUUGGAGAGUUGUUGAUAUUUUGAGACGCUUUGUGCAAUUUUGUAGACGACUGUGAAACAGGAUAAAAUAAUGUUUGCUAACCUAGCUAAGAUGGUGUAACUCCAGGUGGAAUUGGUAUUGAUUUCUAGAAGUUCUAGCAUCCUUGACUAAAGCUAAAGAUCUAACAGUAAGCCAUUUGAGUUACGUUAAAUGUCGAUGAUGAAGAAUGUGUGAGGAGAUAAGAAAUAGGACCAGCAAAUGAUUUCAGCAUUGUAUCCUCAUAUACAGUGAGUUGUGCAUCGUCUGUGAUGUGUGUGUGAUGUGUGUGUGUGUGUGUGUGUGGGGUAACUUUAGCCUAAUGACGUUAUAUUAGCACUGCAUGGGAGCAAUUGUGCUAAAAAAGGUGAGCUAUAAGGACACUGGCGUUUGCUAGCCUCACAAAGAUUGAAACGGUUGUCAUAUUUAGAAUGUGCUUCAUUUGGUUAAUUAUAGGAAUU
Molecule: long non-coding RNA, 2337 nt
Organism: Clupea harengus (Atlantic herring)
Lineage: Eukaryota; Metazoa; Chordata; Actinopteri; Clupeiformes; Clupeidae
Exons: 4
Source: RefSeq, a predicted model, not a curated record